GUCAGGAUGGCCGAGCCGUCUAAGGCGCUGCGUUCAGGUCGCAGUCUCCUCUGGAGGCGUGCGUUCGAAUCCCACUUCUGACA
This 83-nucleotide transfer RNA is filed under the name Gadus morhua (Atlantic cod). Its description in RNAcentral is "tRNA-Leu (CAG) (tRNA-Leu-CAG-23-1)". It matches the Rfam family "tRNA". From Rfam's summary of the family: Transfer RNA (tRNA) molecules are approximately 80 nucleotides in length. Their secondary structure includes four short double-helical elements and three loops (D, anti-codon, and T loops). Further hydrogen bonds mediate the characteristic L-shaped molecular structure. tRNAs have two regions of fundamental functional importance: the anti-codon, which is responsible for specific mRNA codon recognition, and the 3' end, to which the tRNAs corresponding amino acid is attached (by aminoacyl-tRNA synthetases). tRNAs cope with the degeneracy of the genetic code in two manners: having more than one tRNA (with a specific anti-codon) for a particular amino acid; and 'wobble' base-pairing, i.e. permitting non-standard base-pairing at the 3rd anti-codon position. Lineage: Eukaryota; Metazoa; Chordata; Actinopteri; Gadiformes; Gadidae. The record is from Rfam by way of RNAcentral. RNAcentral also lists the same sequence under 1 other name.